GUGAAAUGAUGAAGGACCUUUAAAACCAAGACAGAUCCAACAAUUAUAGCUCCUGCAAGGAAACAUGGUCUUUCUUGCCUCCAUAAGCACUAAUGGUACUGGUGGACUGGCCUGUAUUCGGCUCAAUCCACCGAAGAAAAGCAGUCCCGCCGCAUGCCAUCAGCAUGUUUCACAUCGGAAAGGUCGUGUUUAGGGUGAUGUGCAGUGUUAAUUUUCUUCCGUAAAGCCAUUUGCCAUGUUGUCGUGUUUGCUGUGCUGCCUACAUGGCUUCUGGCAAACUUGAAAUGGAUUUUUGCACAGCUAGUUGUCCUUUCAACAGAUUUUCCUACCAGAGCUGUGAAACUCCUCCAGAGUUCCCAUGGAGCUCAUCUCCGGUUCAGGUAGAGCGUCAUGUCUUCGUAGGUUUACAAACUCUUGCGUUUCCAAUUGAUGGGGUGAACACUUCUGUUCCUGAUAUGGAUAUCGUUUUAAAUCAUAACCCUGAUUUAAAACGUCUUCACCGUUUUAUUCCUAAUCCGUUAGGUGUGCUCCUUGGUCUUCAUGAUGCGUUUGGUUCCUAAUAUUCUUUGACAGAUCUCUGAGGCCUUCACAGAACAGCUGUGGAUGCACUCAGAUGACGUUACACACAGGGAGGCUAAUUUUAUUAAUGAGGUUACACUGGAUUUGUUUAUCGGCAUCAGAAAAAUCACUGAAAGCAAAUGCAUGCUUCUAUCUGAAAUAAACAUUUCAGAUGCUUAUUUGUAUUUCGUUUCACUUCACAAUUAUUCACUGCUUUGUGUCAGUCUGGUUCAUUAAAGUUUAUGGUUGAAAACUGACAACUGCGGUAUCAAUACUUUUGCAAGUACUGUAUUACCAUAAAUAUUAAAAAAUAUAUAAUUUCUUUUCACAAAAAGGCUUACCCAUCAAAACGUGUUUUCUAAAUCCUGUCUCCAUAUUUUGUACAGAUCUUUUAUAAAGGAGAAAUUAAUUAAUAUAACCAGAUGGGCCUAAAACUCCUCUUUUUUUAACUAGAUGAAACCAAUUUCAUAUUUGUGGACAUUUGGGGUGUCAUAAUCUUAUUGAAUAGUAUGCUGACAUCGUGCAAAUCUCUUUUGUAAUAUUAAUCCAAAAUCAUACUUCCCUAUAGCUGAAAGUCUGACUUGUUGCCAUGCACUGCGCUUACCAGACUGCCUUAGCUGUUGUACUUCUGAAAUAUUCAGGUUCAUCUUAAGCACUUUUAAGUUAAAAUUGUCUUUUUUUUUUCUUUUUUUUUUCCAUACUGUGACAGUUGCAUGAAUCCCAGAAGUAGUUUUUUUUUUAUUUUUUAUUUUCUAUUGCAUAUUUAUUAUUUGACUAUAAAUGUAAAUGAAGUAGAAUAUUCAGGUUCACGCUGUUAUCCUACAACACUUAAAUCCUUAACUGUGACAGAAAACACAAGCUAGGUUUCAAAUGUAUAACCACAAGUUAUGUUGCUGAAUUGACUGUAAGCUGUCAGCCAAAAAUACGUGAAAAUUAAAGCUGUAACCAGUAUUGAAACAUUUCCUGUCUCUCUUAAUUCCAUUGUGAUUUCAGGUUGACUUAGCCGAAUGUGAAGUCAACAUCUGUUUUAAGAAAAUAUGAAUAUGGGUCAAAUUAGAUCAAUUUGAGCCAAAUUCAGCCUGAGCUGCCAGCAAUUUUGGGGGGUUUUAAAGCUUCCUGUUGCAUAAGUGUCACAACUUUGUAUGGAAAUGUCUGAAAAAUAUUUGAAUUUACAGACCAGUUGCAUACUCAAUCAAUGAAUUGUUUAGCAAUUUAUGAAACUUUUUAUCCGCCUAUACGUUCAUCUGUCAAAGUAUCAUUUAUCUGUCUAUUCAUCUAUUCAUAAGUCCCUCAGUCGAUCAUCUUUCCAUACAUUUUCAAUACAUUUGUCCAUCAUUCAUCAAUUUAACUAUUUCUCUGUUCAUCCAGCAAAGCAGUUUAUUUUCCAUUUGGCUGAAAUGAGAAUUCAUAUAUCCAACCUUGUUCAUCCAUCCUUCCAUCUUUGCCAUUCAUGCAUCAAGCCAUUCAUCUAUUUGUUCAUCCAUUCAUCCAUCCAUCUGCAACUAGACCUGGACUCGUCUUUGCUGUAAGGACAAUUUUAUUGUGUUGUAACGUUUUCUGGUCCACAAAACAAAAAUACUAAUGUCACAUCUUCUCAGUACACUGAACAUAAAUCCAAGCAAAUCUCAUAAGAGUUACUGUUUCACAGGAAAUUUCACAAAGGCAAAAAUCAUUCCUACACAAUCAAAACAACCAUAUUCAUUAAAAAAAGAAAGAUUUUAAGAGGUUUAAAAUGAAAUGUUACACAAAAUGCCUUUGUUUGAGAUGCAAAAAUGUGCCCUUCUGCUCUGCAACUUUAGGGUGCAGAUCUUUAAUCAGAAUAUUUAACCUUUGGCUUUAUAUAUUACAAAAACACGCACGCGCACACACAUACAGUUCAUGAAUUAAAAACACUAAACUGGUUUAAUUUCAACACAACUGCAGGCAAGGAGUAACUCAUAUCCAUAUGUAUGGACCACACCUAUUAAAUCAUUGUGAAGAAGUGAACUUUAAAGGUUUUAAUGUUCCAGGCGGUUGAAUGUAAGAAGCAGGUUAAGUCUAAGCGAUCUGCAGUAACAUCUAUGAAAAGGUUUGACCUGGUCUGACACAGAAUACCCCACAGUGAUCUGGGAUUAUACAGAAUAUAAUCCAUGUCUGAAUGGUUGAUUUAGAGCGGAGCCUUCCCAAGCUACACUCUGUCCAAUCAUCCUGGACAGCAAGUCAAAGACGGUCGAUCUACACUCAUUCAUGUCCUUUUGCUCGACAAAGCCAACAGACAAGAUUUUCCUUUGCGGAUUUCACUUCUUCAUCUUGAGGUCGGCCUCUAUGGCACUACGGCGCCCUCUGGUGCCACCGUC
This is a long non-coding RNA of Poecilia latipinna (sailfin molly), 2894 nucleotides long. RefSeq lists it as uncharacterized. The transcript is spliced from 2 exons. The record is from RefSeq and is a predicted model, not a curated record. NCBI's taxonomy places the organism in Eukaryota, Metazoa, Chordata, Actinopteri, Cyprinodontiformes, Poeciliidae.